This 301-nucleotide ribosomal RNA is filed under the name uncultured bacterium. RNAcentral's name for it is "partial 16S ribosomal RNA". It matches the Rfam family "Bacterial small subunit ribosomal RNA", at positions 509 to 807 of the family's 1533-position model. The record is from RNAcentral.
CAGUCGCCACGGUAAUACGAAGGGGGCUAGCGUUGUUCGGAAUUACUGGGCGUAAAGCGCACGUAGGCGGAUUUUUAAGCCAGGGGUGGAAUCCCGAGGCUCAACCUCGGAACUGCCUUUGAUACUGGAGAUCUUGAGUUCGGAAGAGGUUGGUGGAACAGCUAGUGUAGAGGUGAAAUUCGUAGAUAUUAGCUAGAACACCAGUGGCGAAGGCGGCCAACUGGUCCGAUACUGACGCUGAGGUGCGAAAGCGUGGGGAGCAAACAGGAUUAGAUACCCCUGUAGUCCCUGUCUCUUAUAC